This is a non-coding RNA of Danio rerio (zebrafish), 570 nucleotides long. NCBI's taxonomy places the organism in Eukaryota, Metazoa, Chordata, Actinopteri, Cypriniformes, Danionidae. The record is from RefSeq and is a predicted model, not a curated record.
UUAUCAAACAGAAGUGAAAAUAGUAUUUGUGUUUGGCGAACAAACCUUGCAGCAAAAGCGCGUGUACGCAUGCGCGUGAGAGUCGUUCGUUGGAUAGGGUUUAAAUUCCAGCGCAGCAAUGGCAGAGCUCCUCCGAAACAUCAUAUUCAGGCGAUUUCCUUCAUCAAAGAUAUGGGCCAUUGGAAAACCACAGAGAUGCAAUGAAGAUGGGAAUCCUUGUUAGCAUCAGGAGCAUGAUGAAGUUUAAGAGCCCUGUCAACUGUGCUGAAUGUCUGCUGUCCUGGAAGAGGAGAUGAUGGUGCUCGACAAUAGGAGACUUUAUCAAUGCAUCUUCUGUGCUUUUGGAUUAUAGUAUCUACUCAACCUGGAAUACGAUGACUAAAUAGGUUCACAUGAAUGGUUGCUUCCACGAAUCCUGCGACUUCCACAUCUUCAGGUGAUUCUGAUGUAAAUCUGCUGUCCAGAAUCAGCUGGUUUGUCUUAGUCGGGCAUCUCCGCUGAGACCAGUCCACUAUGGGUGACCCUGCCGGUAUCUGUGAAGUACCAGUGGCGAAGCUCUCAGCAUCACUG